AUGGCAGGUACCGGCGAAAACGACGAUAGCACUCCCAAGGAUUUCAAGGAAUGUGUCAGCCAAGAGCAACUACAAGCUACCGUAGAGAAGGUUCAAGACGGGAUGAACGAGGCAAUCAAGAAGGCUGUUACUGAUGUGCUCAUUGAACUCAACCUCGGCAACAGCAUCGAGCGGUUCGACAAACGGAUAUCCACAUUAACUGACAGGGUUACCGAGUUGGAAACCCGUUUAACAACCAACAACGACGACGUGUCCGGCAGCAACAACAGUGGACAAAUGCCAGAAGACACGGUGUAUGAUGCUAAUGGGAACAUAAAUCAAGCAGCUACACGACAAGCAAGAUUGCGCCAACGUCUUCGUCGUAACACUCAAGGUAUGGGUAGUGUCGUGGUAUUCUCUCGGGGGGUGCAAGACGACAUAUGCCACAAGGUGGCUUUGUGUGAGGGCAAGACUACUGCCGGAAUAUCCAGGGACGGGUAUGCAAGUAGCACGCGCUAG
RNAcentral lists this ribosomal RNA (498 nucleotides) under Triticum aestivum (bread wheat). RNAcentral describes it as "partial small subunit ribosomal RNA". Lineage: Eukaryota; Viridiplantae; Streptophyta; Magnoliopsida; Poales; Poaceae. The record is from RNAcentral.